UACGUAGGGACCAAGCGUUGUUCGGAUUUACUGGGCGUAAAGGGCGCGUAGGCGGCAUGACAAGUCACUUGUGAAAUCUCCGGGCUUAACCCGGAGCGGCCAAGUGAUACUGUCGUGCUAGAGUGCGGAAGGGGCUACUGGAAUUCUCGGUGUAGCGGUGAAAUGCGUAGAUAUCGAGAGGAACACCUGCGGCGAAGGCGGGUAGCUGGGCCGACACUGACGCUGAGGCGCGAAAGCCAGGGGAGCGAACGGG
RNAcentral lists this ribosomal RNA (253 nucleotides) under uncultured bacterium. RNAcentral describes it as "partial 16S ribosomal RNA". It matches the Rfam family "Bacterial small subunit ribosomal RNA", at positions 524 to 776 of the family's 1533-position model. The record is from RNAcentral.